AGGACUUCACUGAGCAACAGCCAAGUCCUCUGACACUGCUUCCAAGCUCUGCCUCGUUCUCAGGCCACCGGCAGUUUGGACGCAGGGGAUCGAUCCUUCUGGUGACUGCCGCUGCCUGCAAGUAUCAAAUGAUGGCCCGCACAUUCUCGCUGGCUGUUCCUUUUUCCUAUGCAUAUACUUCUUUGUGAAUCUGGUCUAAAGAGGUAUAGCGCAUGGGAAAAUGGAGCAGUGAGAUCUUCCCCACCCAAAGUCUUUAGCAUCUGCUUCCCGACCAGGCGACUUCUGCUUCCCUCCCGCUGGACCAGGGCUGGGCGCUUUCCUGUCUGCUCCGGGGCACUGUAAAAGAGCCGCAAGGCCUUUCCAGGGAACAGCGCGUUCCCAAGUGGAUCUUGGGACCCGGUUGUUCAGGUGUUAAAAUGGAGGGCUUAGAUAGAAUGGAGGGGUACGCUGGGGCAGAUCUGACCUAUCCGAGGUUUUACAGUGGGUGUUGGGACAGGAACUGAAGCAGAUCCAUCUGAGUUUGUGCUUUGGCAAUCCUGAGUUCUAGGGACCUUAGAAGAGGCGAAUGGGCUCAGGACUUGAUCUUUGAAAUUUUCUUUAGUGUGAAAUCAGUGUGAACACAUUUUUACACUAGUGGGUGACGUCGGGUCUGAUGUUGGAGGAGGUAAAAGGACCAGCUGAGGGGUCAGUGGGCCCCGGGUUCAGUCGUGUAGCUGCUUCUCACCAUGAUUGCAUUUUUAUAAUGAUGGGUGUGGUUGAUUUUUUGAGCCCAAGUUCUAGUGAAGCUGACCACUCAGUGGCAGAAUGCUCGCCACUGAUGAGUAAGGAGGUCUUUGGGCUCAGUUUCCAGAACUGAAAAAAAGAUGAAAAUCAGGAAAAUAAAAUAUUUGGACC
This 894-nucleotide long non-coding RNA is filed under the name Mus pahari (shrew mouse). RNAcentral's name for it is "predicted gene 2044 (MGP_PahariEiJ_G0004188.1)". The stretch from base 154 to 229 matches the Rfam family "mir-202 microRNA precursor family". The record is from RNAcentral. Lineage: Eukaryota; Metazoa; Chordata; Mammalia; Rodentia; Muridae.